RNAcentral lists this ribosomal RNA (450 nucleotides) under uncultured bacterium. RNAcentral's name for it is "bacterial SSU rRNA". It matches the Rfam family "Bacterial small subunit ribosomal RNA", at positions 29 to 524 of the family's 1533-position model. The record is from RNAcentral.
AACGAACGCUGGCGGCAGGCUUAACACAUGCAAGUCGAACGCUCGUCUUCGGACGGGAGUGGCAGACGGGUGAGUAACGCGUGGGAACGUACCCUUCGGUUCGGAAUAACCCGGGGAAACUCGGAUUAAUACCGGAUACGUCCGCAAGGAGAAAGAUUUAUCGCCGAAGGAUCGGCCCGCGUCGGAUUAGCUAGUUGGUGGGGUAAUGGCCCACCAAGGCGACGAUCCGUAGCUGGUCUGAGAGGAUGAUCAGCCACACUGGACUGAGACACGGCCCAGACUCCUACGGGAGGCAGCAGUGGGGAAUAUUGGACAAUGGGCGAAAGCCUGAUCCAGCCAUGCCGCGUGAGUGAAGAAGGCCUUAGGGUUGUAAAGCUCUUUCAGCGGGAAGAUAAUGACGGUACCCGCAGAAGAAGCCCCGGCUAACUUCGUGCCAGCCGCCGCCGUAAC